Molecule: long non-coding RNA, 612 nt
Organism: Bombus huntii
Lineage: Eukaryota; Metazoa; Arthropoda; Insecta; Hymenoptera; Apidae
Exons: 2
Source: RefSeq, a predicted model, not a curated record
GGAAAAGGAAGAAGAGCGAAAGAAAGGAAAGAAGAAGAGGGAAGAGGACGCCUAUCGUUCUCACCGAAAGCUAACCUCCCACCGACUGGAAAUCAUGAACGUACGCAUGCACGCAUUUAUAGAGACCUUGUGCUCCUGCUCCGGCUCGGAAUGAAAACAGAUGGUUGAGCAUGGGGGACCUGGUUUGACUCCUUCCUGCGUGCCUUUCUCUACCUUCUAUCUCCUUAUGAUGUAUGCGACUGGGUUACCAAGAAAAAAAUUAGAAGCAACGCGAAUGAAAACUCGUUGCCACAAUAUGCAGCCGAUUCUUUUUUCAUUCGCAACUUGUUUCCUCGUGUUAUUAUUAUUUAUUAGACGAAAUGAUAGGUUUUGUUUAAUACUGUAAAUUAAGAUUAGAUUAGGUUUCUACAUUAUGCAUAGAUGCAAUGCUCAUGCGUGUAUGUUUUAUGAACAAGUUGUUGCUGGGUGAUAUUUAUAGAAAGAAUGUUCCGAUUUAUGGAAUGAAUGUAAAGUAAUUUGAAACUGAAUAAGUGUAUUUCUGGUUUCUUAUAAGUUAAAAUUGGUUGUCUUUGGUAUGUUUCAUAAAUCUGAAAUUGAAAUUCGCCCUUAAAA